This 429-nucleotide ribosomal RNA is filed under the name Pseudomonadota bacterium. Its description in RNAcentral is "Proteobacteria bacterium partial 16S ribosomal RNA". It matches the Rfam family "Bacterial small subunit ribosomal RNA", at positions 355 to 776 of the family's 1533-position model. Lineage: Bacteria; Pseudomonadati; Pseudomonadota. The record is from RNAcentral.
UGGGGAAUAUUGGACAAUGGGGGGAACCCUGAUCCAGCCAUGCCGCGUGUGUGAAGAAGGCCUUAUGGUUGUAAGCACUUUAAGCGAGGAGGAGGGUUCUGGUUUUAAUACUAACAGGUACCGGCCGUUACUCGCAGAAUAAGCACCGGCUAACUCUGUGCCAGCAGCCGCGGUAAUACAGAGGGUGCGAGCGUUAAUCGGAUUUACUGGGCGUAAAGCGUGCGUAGGCGGCUAAUUAAGUCGGAUGUGAAAUCCCCGGGCUUAACUUGGGAAUUGCAUUCGAUACUGGUUAGCUAGAGUGUGGGAGAGGAUGGUAGAAUUCCAGGUGUAACGGUGAAAUGCGUAGAGAUCUGGAGGAAUACCGAUGGCGAAGGCAGCCAUCUGGCCUAACACUGACGCUGAGGUACGAAAGCAGGGGGAGCAAACAGG